This is a non-coding RNA of Carica papaya (papaya), 624 nucleotides long. The record is from RefSeq and is a predicted model, not a curated record. Lineage: Eukaryota; Viridiplantae; Streptophyta; Magnoliopsida; Brassicales; Caricaceae.
ACUUUGCAGAUGUGGAUGAGUGCAAAGAGAAGCUGGCCUGUCAAUGCCCAGCAUGUAAAUGCAAAAAUACCUGGGGCAGUUAUGAAUGCAGCUGCAGUGGUGGUUUACUUUACAUGCGAGAACAUGAUACAUGCAUAAGUAAAGAUGCCAAAACAGAGGUCAGCUGGAGCUUUGUUUGGUUUAUUGUUCUUGGCUUGUCUGCUGCUGGUGCUGGGGGAUAUGCACUUUAUAAGUACAGGAUCCGGAGAUACAUGGAUUCAGAAAUCCGGGCUAUCAUGGCACAGUACAUGCCGUUGGACAAUCAACCUAAUAAUGUUCAACAUGCGGAGAUCUAAAAUUAGGACGGUAUAUAAGAGAUGCAAGAUGAAGCAGAUUAAGGAUCAUCUUUCCAAAAUCCUUUUGAGUGCUCGGCACCAAACACCACAUUUCAUUCAUGGGGUGUGAUAUCGUCUGCAAUCUUUUGCCAGCUCUUUUGCUCGGUUAGCAUUUUACUUUUUCCUCUUGGUUUAUUUGGUUGGAGAAUCUUGUCACCUGCUGUUAACAAUGUAAAUUUGAAGGUUUUACUGGUGCACAUAUUUUUAGUAUUAUCAUAAAAAAAUAAUAAUAAUUUCCACCUUUUUAGCA